Non-coding RNA from Podarcis lilfordi (Lilford's wall lizard), 74 nucleotides. The record is from the annotation of a GenBank genome assembly. NCBI's taxonomy places the organism in Eukaryota, Metazoa, Chordata, Lepidosauria, Squamata, Lacertidae.
GGCUGUGGUGGCUCAGUUGGCAGAGCAUUUCCUUUGCACACAGAAGGUCCCAGGUUUAGUCUCUGCUAUAGCCA